Molecule: unclassified non-coding RNA, 151 nt
Filed under: uncultured fungus
Lineage: Eukaryota; Fungi
Description: sequence contains ITS1
Source: RNAcentral
GCGAGUCUAACUCUCUAUAACCAUUGUGAACGAACGCAAUGUUGCUUCGGCAGAGCAGGUCUUACAGGCUUAACGAGCCCUGGGGCCUCCUGCCGAUAGAACGUAAACUCUUGUUAUUAUUGUUUCUCUGAGUAGCUUAUUUAAUAAGUUA